This is a long non-coding RNA of Olea europaea var. sylvestris, 718 nucleotides long. RefSeq lists it as uncharacterized. The transcript is spliced from 3 exons. The record is from RefSeq and is a predicted model, not a curated record. Lineage: Eukaryota; Viridiplantae; Streptophyta; Magnoliopsida; Lamiales; Oleaceae.
UUUCCUUUUUUGCUGGAGCAGGGUGGCCAUAUUACGCAUUUUUGAUUGGUGCAUCUGGCCAAUUAGGUUGGCAGAUAUUGACAGUUGACCUAUCCAGUCGUGCUGAUUGCAAUAGAAAAUUUGUCUCCAAUAAGUGGUUUGGUGCACUUGUCUUCACUGGGAUUCUAUUGGGACGCCUCUUCCCUUAAUGUACUGAGCCUGUUGCAAGGACGUUAAUCAAGAUAAACAGAAGGAUUGGUUGAUUGAAUUUUUCUCUUGGGUUAAAAAGAGGAUGUCAACUUGAAUUAUUCGAGGUCUACAUUUAUUUCUAGUCCAAAUUAUGUCGUCAUUAUUGUGAAUUCUUCACAUGAUUUUGAGUCUUUGACAUGUUUGAAUAUUAGAAGUUAGAACUUAAUGAAGGUGUAUUGUGGGUUUCCGGAGUUUUGCUAAACAAUGAGAAAAGAAAGUGAUUUGCAUGAAUCAAACUUGUGGUUAGGUUCCUAAAAACCACAGGCGUAAUAUGUAAGAAAUAUCCAGAGGCUGUUAUGGCAUUGACUCUUGAUUGGUAGUUUGAAAAUUAAAAAUCAGAUGAUGGAGAAACAGAAGAUGAAAAGAAGGGCCAUGUGACCAUAUUAAUUAACAGCUAUUCUAGUCUGAUAAGAAGAAUAUAGCUGUUCACAUUAAACGCACUAACUUACCAAAGGUUCUGUUUUGAGAAUUGAGGCAAAUGUUGAAGAAA